GACGAACGCUGGCGGCGUGCUUAACACGUGCAAGUCGAACGGAAAGGCCUGCUUUCCCUUGUGGAUUGCGGGUACUCGAGUGGCGAACGGGUGAGUAACACGUGAGUGAUCUGCCCCCAACUUGGGUAUAAGCCUGGGAAACUGGGUCUAAUUCCCGAUAGGACUGCAGGGUGGUGCCUGUGGUGGAAAACGAUUUUCUAGUGGUUGGGGAUGAGCUCGCGGCCUAUCAGCUUGUUGGUGGGGUAAUGGCCUACCAAGGCGGCGACGGGUAGCCGGCCUGGGAGGGUGGACGGCCACAUUGGGACUGAGAUACGGCCCAGACUCCUACGGGAGGCAGCAGUGGGGAAUAAUGCACAAUGGGCGGAAGCCUGAUGCAGCGACGCCGCGUGGGGGAUGACGGCCUUCGGGUUGUAAACUCCUUUCGACCGCGAGGAAGCCACCUGGUUGGAAGGGUGGUGACGGUAGUGGUAGAAGAAGCACCGGCUAACUACGUG
RNAcentral lists this ribosomal RNA (494 nucleotides) under uncultured bacterium. Its description in RNAcentral is "partial 16S ribosomal RNA". It matches the Rfam family "Bacterial small subunit ribosomal RNA", at positions 28 to 507 of the family's 1533-position model. The record is from RNAcentral.